This is a small nucleolar RNA of Ricinus communis (castor bean), 103 nucleotides long. NCBI's taxonomy places the organism in Eukaryota, Viridiplantae, Streptophyta, Magnoliopsida, Malpighiales, Euphorbiaceae. The record is from RefSeq and is a predicted model, not a curated record.
AAUCCGUGAUGUAAGUGACAUCUCAAAAGAUCUUUAAACCUCUCCAUUACAUCGUACAUGCUUUCAUCACCGUGCAUAAAGAAGAUAUGUCAUUUCUAAGUUU